CGCCCCCGUCCGUUUGAAUCCUAACCGACGAUAACCUGUAACAACCUCCCUCGCUGUCAGAAUACACAACUGUCAGCACUGCACCCGUCCUUUGCAGUUGAUUAAGGAUACCACGAAGAAUCCUGAAGAGGUCAAAAAAACCUGUGGCGUCGGAAGACGAGAGAGAGGGGACUGAGGUGUGAAUGUUGUACUCGGAAGGCUUCUCUUUACGGAUGAAAAAGGAAAAAUAGUGGAACACGGCUGCCGAUUUGUUGGAGAUUUAACGGAGAACAACACCAAAAAGGAGAAGAAAAUGUAAGAAUAACAACAGCAGGAAAAUGGUUGAAAUCGAUGUGUCGACGAUGCCAGACGAUCCGCGAGCUACAGAGGAGUGCUUUGCCCAUGCUGGGAGGAAGGGGAAGACCACGUGUUGCAGGAACUGCCGCAGAACCCCCUCCUCACAAUCUCCCCCAUCCUCCUCUUCCUCCUGUUUCCAAGACAGCGAAGUUUAUAAUGACUUUAUCGGUUCAUAUUUUUAGAUCGAUUAAAGGCUGUGCACAUCAUGCUGUGUGUUCACUCCUUGCAAGAACCAUUCCCUUCAUUGUACCUUCCCUAUCGUGCUUGUUAAUUAGUUAGCUUAAUUAAGCCACUUGGGGCAGUGUGACUUCAGGGUGCACUAUAGACGUUCUUGGGGUAAUUUAGGUUUUGAUGUACCCACGAACCCAAUUUUUCCCCCUCUUGUCAGACACUGGCUUAUAAUGAUGAUAUUAUCAGUGAAUAUCAUCAGAUAACUCCAAGCCCUCUCUCUCUCUCUCUCUCUCUCUCUCUCUCUCUCUCUCUCUCUCACACACACACACACACACACACACACAUUCACAGAGAGACUAGUUUAUGGCUACCGAGGGUGAAGGCGAGGUCGUGGCUAGUGGAAGGUUAAAUGUCACGCUGGACAACUUUCUCCCCCCUUACAGCCUUUCCACAGUAUUCUUAUUUUGUCAUACUGAAUGUUAAAAUGUACCAGUUGAAUUUCUCUGUUUGUGCUGUUGCAAAAAUCCGUAAAAUAAUAAGAGAAAUUGGUUGCUAAUGUCUCGCACGUAGCAUGAUUGUUGUGUAGACAAAAAGAGAAUAACAGCACAGUGAUUGUGAGGGAAAAGAGCAGUUUUGCGGUGGUUUUGACUCGGGGGCGAUGCUGUGGAUUUAUCAGUUUGCAUCCAGAUGUGUGGUUUUCUGCUGUUGACGUAUUUCAAGCGUGUAGGUGGUAUGAGCCUGAAGAAAAGGGGCAGUGGUUUCAGCUGUUUAUUUUCCUCUGCUGAUUGCUAAUGGGCUGUUUCUUUGAUUGUACGAUGGUUGUGAAAUAAAAUGCCUCGAUUCUUCA
Molecule: long non-coding RNA, 1354 nt
Organism: Chelmon rostratus (copperband butterflyfish)
Lineage: Eukaryota; Metazoa; Chordata; Actinopteri; Chaetodontiformes; Chaetodontidae
Exons: 3
Source: RefSeq, a predicted model, not a curated record